This 552-nucleotide ribosomal RNA is filed under the name Triticum aestivum (bread wheat). Its description in RNAcentral is "partial small subunit ribosomal RNA". Lineage: Eukaryota; Viridiplantae; Streptophyta; Magnoliopsida; Poales; Poaceae. The record is from RNAcentral.
AUGGAUGAGCUGUGGAAGGACAUGUCGCUGUGCUCCACCCCGCUCGCGCUACAGUCGUACCGCCUCCACUCGCCGGCCGUCCAUCCCUACCGCGGCGCCGUGUACCUGCAGGACUGCCUCGCCGGCGCCAACUCGGUGCCGCAGCCGCCCCGCACGCCACCGCCCCCGCCUCCUCACACGGCGCUGAGCCUCGAGUUCACAUACCUCGGGGGCGCCACCUCGGCCGCCAACAACAGUAGCAGGAGAUCAGCCGUCCUGCAGCCGGCCGCGGUGGGUGGCGACCGGCGGCAGCGUCGGAUGAUCAAGAACCGGGAGUCGGCGGCGCGGUCGCGGGCGCGGAAGCAGGCCUACACCAACGAGCUGGAGCUGGAGCUGGAGCAGCUGCGUAGGGAGAACAAAAUGCUUAUCCAGCGCGAGAAGGACUUCAUCAACGAUCGUCAGGCCAAGGCGGCGCAGUUAGCCGUCCCCGACUGCCGGAGCGGUAGGAGCACUGCUAGUAGCCUGCAGCUGAAGCAGCAGCAACAGAGGUGCCGCUCGGCUCCUCCACCAUGA